UUGCCAUUCUAGCUAGCAUUUUGCCUAGCAUAAGGAGGAGUAGGCUGACUAGCUGACUUGUUUCCGCGAGAAAGUAGCUAGUGCCGCACGGUUCGUUGGUAGAAAACACCAAGCCCGUGACAUCUUGCAUGGGGUUGGGCCCCAACAGCUUUGGUUGGAUCUUCCAUCCAUGUCUCGGCCUCGCCCUCUACGGCCAUCACAGCCGCAUAAAAUUCCGUCAAUUCAUAUUCGGGCCCGCGUCAGUUCCGACUGGGGCUAUUAUAGGCUACACAACACCUCGAUGCCUCACCUACAAUAAGAAAAUAAAGCCCCAUGUAUGCCUAAAGCAAGGGCGAUGCCCAUGCUCCAUUUUUGAAUUUUUCCGAAAAUGGGCCCCGGUGGGCCCACCGUGUCCCGGGAAAUUUUCCGACAUCCGGGACGGGGCGGAGGGGGCUGGGGUGUUUGCGGGCCAAUUCCGUGGAUACCGAUGCCUAUCUUGCAGCCCAG
Molecule: long non-coding RNA, 486 nt
Filed under: Ricinus communis (castor bean)
Lineage: Eukaryota; Viridiplantae; Streptophyta; Magnoliopsida; Malpighiales; Euphorbiaceae
Description: long non-coding RNA (RCOM_LNC003497)
Source: RNAcentral